Molecule: non-coding RNA, 500 nt
Organism: Kogia breviceps (pygmy sperm whale)
Lineage: Eukaryota; Metazoa; Chordata; Mammalia; Artiodactyla; Physeteridae
Source: RefSeq, a predicted model, not a curated record
UGCACAUGGCGUGGGAACCUGGAGUGAUGUGAUGGUCAAGGCGGGUCUCAGAGAGGAGAUGGCAUUUGAGCUGAGGCUGAAGGAUGAGAAGGAGGCACCCCUUCCUAGAGGGUGUUCCAGGGAGCCGGGCCAGCAUGAGCAACAGCCCUGAGGCCGGGCACAAGUCAGUCUGUUUGAGACACAGAAGGAAGCCCAGAGUGGCCACUCUGCAGUGAACGAGGGGGGCAGAGGAGCAACAUGAGGCUGGAAGAGACACACAGAGGAAGAGGAGGAAGCCAUGUGACCGUGCAUGCAAAGACAGGAGUGAUGCAGCCACAAGCCAAGGAACACAUGGAGCCACCAAAAGCUGGAGGAGGCGAGAAGCAGAUUCUCCCCUUGAGCCUCCAGAGAGAGAAUGGCCCUGCUGACACCUUGAUUUUGAACUUCUGGCCUCCAGACCAUGAGAAAAUACAUUUCCAUUUUAAGCAGUCAAAUCUGUGGCAGUUUGUUCCAGCAGCCCC